ACGGGCGGGGCGAGCGUUGUUCGGAUUUAUUGGGUGUAAAGGGUGCGCAGGCGGUCGCCUAAGUCAGAGGUGAAAAUUCUACGGCUCAACCGAGAACCUGCCUCUGAUACUGGACGACUUGAGUGCGGAAGGGGAGCGUGGAAUUCCUGGUGUGGCGGUGAAAUGCGUAGAUAUCAGGAGGAACACCGGUCGCGAAGGCGACGCUCUGGUCCGUAACUGACGGUCGUUCACGAAAGCCAGGGGAGCGAACGG
This 252-nucleotide ribosomal RNA is filed under the name uncultured prokaryote. RNAcentral describes it as "partial 16S rRNA". It matches the Rfam family "Bacterial small subunit ribosomal RNA", at positions 525 to 775 of the family's 1533-position model. The record is from RNAcentral.